AAGUCGAGGGGCAGCAUAAUGGAUAGCAAUAUCUAUGGUGGCGACCGGCGCACGGGUGCGUAACGCGUAUGCAACCUACCUUUAACAGGGGGAUAACACUGAGAAAUUGGUACUAAUACCCCAUAAUAUCAUAGAAGGCAUCUUCUUGGGUUAAAAACUCCGGUGGUUAAAGAUGGGCAUGCGUUGUAUUAGCUAGUUGGUGAGGUAACGGCUCACCAAGGCAACGAUACAUAGGGGGACUGAGAGGUUAACCCCCACAUUGGUACUGAGACACGGACCAAACUCC
RNAcentral lists this ribosomal RNA (286 nucleotides) under uncultured Alistipes sp. RNAcentral's name for it is "partial 16S ribosomal RNA". It matches the Rfam family "Bacterial small subunit ribosomal RNA", at positions 59 to 339 of the family's 1533-position model. Lineage: Bacteria; Pseudomonadati; Bacteroidota; Bacteroidia; Bacteroidales; Rikenellaceae. The record is from RNAcentral.